This 170-nucleotide small RNA is filed under the name Streptomyces griseoflavus. RNAcentral's name for it is "c-di-AMP sequence". It matches the Rfam family "c-di-AMP riboswitch aptamer (ydaO/yuaA leader)". Rfam says of the family: This family represents a conserved RNA structure found upstream of the ydaO and yuaA genes in Bacillus subtilis and related genes in other bacteria. Lineage: Bacteria; Bacillati; Actinomycetota; Actinomycetes; Kitasatosporales; Streptomycetaceae. RNAcentral also lists the same sequence under 1 other name. The record is from RNAcentral.
UCGCGUAAUGCGCCGUAGGCAGGAGCGGGGGACCCAAGGUAAGCGCCGAGUCCGGGCAGUUGACGCCGGAUCCGGCUUGGGGUGAAGCCGUGUCCCGGGAGGGGCGCGGCCGGGCAACUCAACCGGCCCGAACCCGACAGCUCACCUCGCAGGCGUCGGUGAGGGGAUCC